GGGUAGGUACCGAAGCGGUCAAACGGGGCAGACUGUAAAUCUGCUGGCUAUGCCUUCAGAGGUUCGAAUCCUCUCCUGCCCA
This 82-nucleotide transfer RNA is filed under the name Verrucomicrobiota bacterium. RNAcentral's name for it is "Verrucomicrobia bacterium tRNA-Tyr". It matches the Rfam family "tRNA". Rfam says of the family: Transfer RNA (tRNA) molecules are approximately 80 nucleotides in length. Their secondary structure includes four short double-helical elements and three loops (D, anti-codon, and T loops). Further hydrogen bonds mediate the characteristic L-shaped molecular structure. tRNAs have two regions of fundamental functional importance: the anti-codon, which is responsible for specific mRNA codon recognition, and the 3' end, to which the tRNAs corresponding amino acid is attached (by aminoacyl-tRNA synthetases). tRNAs cope with the degeneracy of the genetic code in two manners: having more than one tRNA (with a specific anti-codon) for a particular amino acid; and 'wobble' base-pairing, i.e. permitting non-standard base-pairing at the 3rd anti-codon position. RNAcentral also lists the same sequence under 4 other names. The record is from RNAcentral. Lineage: Bacteria; Pseudomonadati; Verrucomicrobiota.